UACAAGAUAAAUCCUAUGAUCCUAUUUCUAUAAUGAAUCCAACACAUCAAUAAUAGAUAUCACAUCUUGAAUCUGCAUCUUUCAUAAGAAUGUUCUGGAAGAUAUCCCAAUUCUUACCAAUGUUGGUUGCUUCAUCCUGAGCAUCCUCUUUAGAAGCACCAUUUGAUAUAUUACCACUACUGUUGUUUCUCUUCUUACCAUCUUGUUUCUUCUUAUUGAGAGACGUUGAGUUAUGGUGCCUCUCCCAUGAUCCAACUACUUCUUCUACCUGCUUCUGAGGUAACCUGCAUUAGUGGAUCCAUCCUCAUCAGAUUAACUAUCCCUGGUGUUGCUGUGAUUACUUUGUUCAUUUCUAUUCGAGGAUAUAUAGUUUAUGUUGCGGAUAACAACUUUUCUUGAUGAACUUCUCCCACGGUGCAUUUUUCUAUCCUCCUCAUAGUCAUCAGAAACAUUAUUAUAGCUUGAAGUGUUGGUUUCCUGUCUAUCCCCGUUUGAGUCUUUCUUCUUGUUUUUGAAAGGUGGUUUAUUCUUCCAACUAUAAUCUGAUUCAGAACUGGGACCUCGACUAGAAUCUUUUGGAUUUGUAGGCCAUGGCAUUUGGAUAGUAGGCAGGAUUAGCCUGCAUGCCAAAAAACAUGUAUCCUGGAUAUGGUGAAAUUUGUUGAAAUACUGGAUUUUGAUAAUUUUCUUUGUAAGCUAGCAGAUUGUUCAGCCAUAUUAGUUGUGAUUUUCCAUCUAUAGAGUGGAUUUUGCUAGGUGGUCAUAAACCAUUUUCUGUAGAUUCCACAUACAAAAGCAGCAGAGCUUAGCAACAACAGUGACAACAUACUCGAUAUAAUUCCACAAGUGGGGUCUAAAAAGAAUAGAGUGUAUGCAAACCUUACCCCUACCUUGAUAGGUAGAGAGACUAUCUCUAGUAGACCCUCAUCUUCAGGAAAGAAAAAAAGCAAAGCAAUAGAGUUUAGCCAUCACAGAAAUGAAUAUGAAUAAUGUGCAAAGACCCUACGUUAAAGAAAAUGAUUACACGAAGAGAAUAAUGAAGAAAUAUUAUAUUCAUGGUUAACACGAUUGAAAGAUGUCAUCAUGGAAGCUAGUUAUUAUAAAGUUUCAAGUGGAAAUAAACAAGAGAACGAUACAUGUAUGGAGAAUAUCAUUAUGUGUACCUUGAUUAGUAUCUAAACAUCCAUGACUUGUGGCAUCAUUAUUCUGUCUUCUAAUAUAUUGAGUAAUAUUACUAUGUUCAGCAGCAAGCGUAAUCCCAGAUAUCUCAAAAUAUGAAAACUCAGAAGGUGAGUAGGCUUGAAGGGCUUCCACUUCAUCUAUCCAGAUUCCAUCAUCUCUCUUUUUGUUGUACAACUCCAUAAAUUUAAUGCUUGCUUCUCUGUAUAGAGGCAAAUUAUAUUUCAAUAGGAAUUCGCGAUAGUUCAUCUAUCAUCUUAAUUAGUCCGGUAAACAGAGAGAUUUAUACGUUGCAGCAGAACGAAUAUCUAACUGGCUAGCAAUCUACCUUAUUGCUCCAGUUCUUAAUACAAUUUGUUCUAAUAUGCCUUAAUGAACUACAAAGGACUACGCAAAUUAGGUUUCUUACUCUCUAGCUAGAUGCCACAAAUGGAUGCAUUCAAUGGAGAGCACUAUAUAUGGACUAAAUUAGCUCUAUUUCUGGGGAAUUCCACUCUAGUUUCUUACCUUAGGAUUUAGAUUGUAAGUUGUUUUAAGUUGAAUGAAUUUGAUUGAAUGGGAUUCUUGUCAGGUUAAAGUUUUAUCUGUUUCAACUUUGAUGAAUUUGUUGUUCAGCUUCCUGUGAGUCUUGAGCUUUGGACAUUGUAAGUUUGCUGAGUAUCAAUAUUGAAUACUGAUUAGCAAAAGGCAAAAGAAAGUUUUUGCUUAUGAGAUGGAUGAACUAACAGACAAUGUAGGGUUAAGCUUUACAUAACAGUACUAAUUGUCAAAGGAAAAAAGGUUAAAAUUUUACAUAAAUAAUAUUUUACAAUCAAUUAAUUUAAUAAUCGUUCAUAUUGUUUUGCUACAACAGCAAAUUAUUAUCUUCAUUUAUCUUGUCAUUACAGAGAAAGUGUUUUUGGCGUCCAGAACAUGAACAUUAACGUCAGAUUACUACAAACUUCAGGUUAAAAGUUGCACGCAUACUUGUUGGCUUGUUAUCAAAAGCUCGUGCAAAUAACAAGAGGCCUAGGUGGAUUCUUCCUGAAAAUUAACAAAAGUUAAUUGACCAUUGGGCGACCGAUUUGAGGUUUAAUGAGCGGGAUUAGCAAGAAAGCUAGAGAUGUCACUGAGAAGUCCAGUAGUGACGAAAAUAAUGAGGAUUAUUAUAUGGACAAUGCAUCCGCAUUGUUAAAGUGGAGUGUUGUGUGAGAUAAUCUAAAUUAUGUACUUUAUGGUAGUUUAUUUGAAUUAUUAAGUGUUUUUGAAUGCAUGAAAACUUUGAAGUAGUCUAAUCAAUAGUAUUGUAUAAAUAACUUGACUUCCAUAUUUUUUUCAUUCAAUUUCAAGGUACUUUAAAGUUGAUUUUACUUUACUAUUCAUUGGAUGAUGUUUA
This 2554-nucleotide long non-coding RNA is filed under the name Capsicum annuum. Its description in RNAcentral is "long non-coding RNA (CANN_LNC013609)". The record is from RNAcentral. Lineage: Eukaryota; Viridiplantae; Streptophyta; Magnoliopsida; Solanales; Solanaceae.